GUUAAUUAUUAGUUAAAUAUUGCAUAAUAUCUUAUACGGUUUCUAUUAGUUUCAUAUGAUUGUUAUCUAUGGAUGAUUGGUCAAUUUUUUUUAUCUUAAUUAGUUGGUUAAUUUACUCAAUAACUAAAAAUGGCCAAUGAAAAAAUCUCUCCGUCGGUUUUGGAGGCUUCCACAUUUUAAAAGACGGAAAUUUAGUUUAAGUUUAUAUAAGUUUUAUAUUAAAAUUGGCCAAUGAAAAAAUCUCUUCGUCGAUUUUAGAGGUCUUCCCAUUUUAAAAGACGAAAUUUUAGUUUAAGUUUAUAUAUUUUAUUUGUUAAAAAUGGCCAAUGAAAACAUCUCCCCGUCGAUUUUAGAGCCUUCCCAUUUUAAAAGACGAAAUUUUAGUUUAAGUUUAUAUAUUUUAUUUGUUAAAAAUGGCCAAUGAAAACAUCUCCCCGUCGAUUUUAGAGCCUUCCCAUUUUAAAAGACGAAAUUUUAGUUUAAGUUUAUAUAUUUUAUUUGUUAAAAAUGGCCAAUGAAAACAUCUCCCCGUCGAUUUUAGAGCCUUCCCAUUUUAAAAGACGAAAUUUUAGUUUAAGUUUAUAUAUUUUAUUUGUUAAAAAUGGCCAAUGAAAACAUCUCCCCGUCGAUUUUAGAGCCUUCCCAUUUUAAAAGACGAAAUUUUAGUUUAAGUUUAUAUAUUUUAUUUGUUAAAAAUGGCCAAUGAGAAAAUCUCUCCGUCGGUUUUGGAGGCCUCCACAUUGUAAAACACGGGAAUUUAGUUUAAGUUUAUAUGUACUAUUUGUUAAAAUUGACCGAUGAAGAAAUUAUUGUCGAUUUCUAAGGCCUCUCAUGUUAAUAAGACGGAUGUUUAUUUUUAAGUUAUUGUUUAAUUCAUUUACUUUUAGUCAUAUAUUUAUUUAGUACUAACAUUUUUACUAAGUGUCUUUACAGGUACCCCGAAGUCACUUCUCAUCGAAGUCAUUCGAAUAAAGUUCGAAUGUUAUAUUCAUUAUUAUGUAUAUUGUUGACGAUAGACAAAUAUUAGGUUGUUUCUCAUAUUACUUGUUUACUUUAUUACUCGUGUAUAUUGUAUGUUUGUUAUAUUUGUAUAAUAUUUUUACAUCCUCCUCAAUUUGAAAAAAAUAAAUUCAGUCGGGACCCACAGUUGUGGAUUUCGAAGGAUGCCUAACAUCUUCCCUUCGAAAUAACUUGAACCCCUUACCUAGAAUAUCUUGGUUUCGUAGAUCACUUAAAUGGUUUCCUAUUUUUUUCUAAAAUUAGGUGGCGACUCCUUUAAAAUUCAUUUAUUCUUAAAAUUCUUUUAAAAUUGAAUCAAUUGUUUAUUUUUUGAGUCACCGCGACGUUUCGCCCUAUUCGAAUAGAGUAGGG
Molecule: long non-coding RNA, 1371 nt
Filed under: Solanum tuberosum (potato)
Lineage: Eukaryota; Viridiplantae; Streptophyta; Magnoliopsida; Solanales; Solanaceae
Description: long non-coding RNA (STUB_LNC003687)
Source: RNAcentral